CCCAAGGGUUGGGCUGUUCGCCCAUUAAAGCGGUACGCGAGCUGGGUUCAGAACGUCGUGAGACAGUUCGGUCCCUAUCCGUCGUGGGCGUAGGAAAUUUGAGAGGAGCUGUCCUUAGUACGAGAGGACCGGGAUGGACAUACCUCUGGUGUACCAGUUGUCGUGCCAACGGCAUAGCUGGGUAGCUAUGUGUGGACGGGAUAAGUGCUGAAAGCAUCUAAGCAUGAAGCCCCCCUCAAGAUGAGAUUUCCCAACUUCGGUUAUAAGAUCCCUCAAAGAUGAUGAGAUUAAUAGGUUCGAGGUGGAAGCAUGGUGACAUGUGGAGCUGACGAAUACUAAUCGAUCGAAGACUUAAUCAAAA
The sequence is a ribosomal RNA, 361 nucleotides long. It matches the Rfam family "Bacterial large subunit ribosomal RNA", at positions 2564 to 2925 of the family's 2925-position model.